GUGACAUCAAAGUUUGUUUCUCGGUGUUGUGGUCUAGACAACUUUCCAAGGUAUGUUCUAUGGAUAAUGCAAUUUUUAUUGUAAAAAAAAAAACUCCACUGGACCAGGGUGCAAUCUUCAUUAUCAACAAUAAAUCCAUAAAUUUGAUCCGGCAUUUACACAUGCAAGUAUCAAAACGUUUCAAGAAUGGUAAUGAGGGAUCUCCAACCUAUGUUUAAUAUUAGAAUGCAACAUAAUUUGUCUUUGAAAGAAAAAGAGGCUAUCUCCAAUCUUGCUAAUGACACAAAUAUUGUAAUACUCACGGCUGACAAGGGUGGUGUGAUUGUGGUCCUAAAUUAUAGUGACUAUAAAGAGGACAUUAUAUCAAUUCAAUGAUCAACAAACCAGUUAUUAGAUGGGGAUCCAGUCACUAGGUUUUAGGCUAUAAUAAAUAGGACUUUACAAAAAGGCCUUGAUGCUGGAUGGAUAGAUAACUGUGUACAUAUGAAUUACUUAGUUAAACAGCCUAUCUGUCCAAUCCUUUACACUAUUCCCAAAGUACACAAGAACCUAGACAAACCUCCAGGUCGACCUAUAGUGUCUGCUAGGGGCUCUGUUACUGCCUUUAGCCAUUUGGAUUGAUAAACAUCUUCAACUAAUAAUGAUACAUAUGAGAUCAUAUGUACGUGAUUCUACUGAAUUGAUAAAAUAAAAAUGUCAUGAGAACUUCUGGAUUGAAUGCAACUGAUUUGCUGGUGACACUUGAAGUCACUAGCUGAUAUACAAUCAUAUGACAUACUGAUGGAAUAAACUCAGUCCAAAAGACACUAUUGAAAUACCCUUAUAUAAGGCCUGUUUUUGACUAAAUCAUUGAAAUGUCUGUCUUACAACUAUUUAAAGUUUGAAUUUUCAUAAUAUCAGCAAAAAAUGGGCACAGCAAUGGGGUCUAAUAUGGCCACAUCUUAUCCAAGUUUAUAUAUGGAAGAUUAUGAAGAGUACAUUAUGGAUGUCCACAUAUCUUGAGGUACAUGGAUGACAUUUAUUUUUUUUAUUUGGAGAGGUUCCGAGAAUGAAGUAAAUAAUUGGGUUAGAGAUUUGAUCAAUUGCCCACUCCAGUGGAGUUUAAAGAGGUUUAUCAUUCAGAUGUAAUUAAUUCAUUUUUGGAUAUAAGGAUAAUCAAAGUGGAGGAGUACUUUGAAACAACGUUAUUCCAGAACAGUACAGAUCAUAAUUCACUUCUGUUGGAAAAUAGCUGCCAUCAUCACCCUUUGAUAAGAGCGAUCUUGAAGGCACAAAUGUGCAGGGUGAAGAGGACUAAAGCAGAUCUAAAAAGGCACAGCAACAACUUAGGGGGAUAUGGCUUCCAAAUUCUUAAAUCUAGGAUAAGCCUAUGAGCUGAUAAAGGAUACCGGCAAAUUGUUGAAAACUAUAAAAAAAAAAAACUACUCGGUAAGACAAGAAGUUCUGAUAACAAACUGACAAUGAUUGCCACCUAUACACCAGCAGUUGGGACACUGGCCAAUUCUGUAAAAGAACAUUGGGACAUUUUAAAAGCAGACCCUACUCUUCCCUUUUUUAACAGAUAUACAUAGGAUAGACUACAAUAAAGGGCGACGCCUUAAUCUAUUAAUGAAAACAGAUCCCAAACAUGGUUGCUGACGACGAAAUGUGAAUCACAGCACAGAAGUGCCAUCAGGGCAACUUUGAAUACACGGAAGACAGACCAACCUGUUGCUAGACACUUUAUGGAAAAAAAUCACAUACUGAAGGAUUUGGGAUUUAUAUUGAUCCUGUACCUCCAAGAGUGGGAGAUAGGAGAAUAAGGUUAUUGCAGAUGGAAGCCAAAUGGAUCUUAAUGCUAGAUACACUACAACCAAAGGGACUCAAUUCAAGUAUAAAUUGACACUGUUAUUUAUCAUUUAGUGUGUGUAUAUAUGUAUAUCAGAUGCUGAUGAAGGGGACCUGAUCCCCGAAAAACGUUUCAAAUAAAGUAACUUUACUUUUGUUGUCAAA
Bombina bombina (fire-bellied toad) is the source of this 1992-nucleotide long non-coding RNA. RefSeq lists it as uncharacterized. The transcript is spliced from 2 exons. NCBI's taxonomy places the organism in Eukaryota, Metazoa, Chordata, Amphibia, Anura, Bombinatoridae. The record is from RefSeq and is a predicted model, not a curated record.